AACGAACGCUGGCGGCAUGCCUAACACAUGCAAGUCGAACGAGAUCUUCGGAUCUAGUGGCGCACGGGUGCGUAACGCGUGGGAAUCUGCCCCUUGCUUCGGAAUAACAGUGAGAAAUUACUGCUAAUACCGGAUGAUGUCUUCGGACCAAAGAUUUAUCGGCAUGGGAUGAGCCCGCGUAGGAUUAGGUAGUUGGUGGGGUAAUGGCCUACCAAGCCGACGAUCCUUAGCUGGUCUGAGAGGAUGAUCAGCCACACUGGGACUGAGACACGGCCCAGACUCCUACGGGAGGCAGCAGUGGGGAAUAUUGGACAAUGGGCGAAAGCCUGAUCCAGCAAUGCCGCGUGAGUGAUGAAGGCCUUAGGGUUGUAAAGCUCUUUUAACAGGGAUGAUAAUGACAGUACCUGGAGAAUAAGCUCCGGCUAACUCCGUG
This 433-nucleotide ribosomal RNA is filed under the name uncultured bacterium. RNAcentral describes it as "partial 16S ribosomal RNA". It matches the Rfam family "Bacterial small subunit ribosomal RNA", at positions 29 to 507 of the family's 1533-position model. The record is from RNAcentral.